Molecule: transfer RNA, 70 nt
Filed under: Marmota monax (woodchuck)
Lineage: Eukaryota; Metazoa; Chordata; Mammalia; Rodentia; Sciuridae
Rfam family: tRNA
About the family: Transfer RNA (tRNA) molecules are approximately 80 nucleotides in length. Their secondary structure includes four short double-helical elements and three loops (D, anti-codon, and T loops). Further hydrogen bonds mediate the characteristic L-shaped molecular structure. tRNAs have two regions of fundamental functional importance: the anti-codon, which is responsible for specific mRNA codon recognition, and the 3' end, to which the tRNAs corresponding amino acid is attached (by aminoacyl-tRNA synthetases). tRNAs cope with the degeneracy of the genetic code in two manners: having more than one tRNA (with a specific anti-codon) for a particular amino acid; and 'wobble' base-pairing, i.e. permitting non-standard base-pairing at the 3rd anti-codon position.
Source: Rfam by way of RNAcentral
GGAGAUCUAGCUCAGGUGGUAGAGUGCUUGCCUUCAAUGCACAAGGCCCUGGGUUCAAUCCCCAGCACCA